RNAcentral lists this ribosomal RNA (509 nucleotides) under uncultured bacterium. RNAcentral describes it as "bacterial SSU rRNA". It matches the Rfam family "Bacterial small subunit ribosomal RNA", at positions 791 to 1298 of the family's 1533-position model. The record is from RNAcentral.
UAGUCCACGCCGUAAACGAUGGAUACUAGCUGUCCGGGGCUUUAAGUUCUGGGCGGCCAAGCGAAAGUGAUAAGUAUCCCACCUGGGGAGUACGUUCGCAAGAAUGAAACUCAAAGGAAUUGACGGGGCCCGCACAAGCGGUGGAGCAUGUGGUUUAAUUCGAUGAUACGCGAGGAACCUUACCAGGGCUUAAAUGCAUAUUGACAGGGCUAGAGAUAGCUUUUCCUUCGGGCAAUUUGCAAGGUGCUGCAUGGUUGUCGUCAGCUCGUGCCGUGAGGUGUCAGGUUAAGUCCUAUAACGAGCGCAACCCCUGUCGUUAGUUGCCAGCGAGUCAUGUCGGGGACUCUAACGAGACUGCCGGUGCAAACCGUGAGGAAGGUGGGGAUGACGUCAAAUCAUCAUGGGCCUUUAUGUCUGGGGGCUACACACGUGCUACAAUGGGUCUGUACAAAGGGGGAGCUAAGCCGCGAGGCGGGUGCAAAUCUCAAAAAGCAGAUCACAGUUCGGGA